GUAGACAUGCAGUAGGCUUGAAUCGGGGUUGUAACGAAAAAGCUACGGGAAAAAUAGUGUCGGUGGCAAACUUGUAAAUAUUUCGAAAAGGGUUAGGGUAAAAAUCAGAUUUUUCCAGUUUUACCUCACUUUCUCUCUCUUCCUCCCGAUUCUCUCUCUCUCUCCCGCGUCCCUCUUCCUCCUUCUCCGAUUUGCAGACACGGAGCCACCGCCACAGACCACGGCCAGCCCCGAGACCGGACCCAAAACAACCGGCCAGACCUCGCCGACGUCCCCCGACCCAUCUCCAGCCGUCCGCCGCCGCCUCGUCGCCGAAACCCACCCGUUUAUUAAACGGGUUAGAACGGGUUGACCCGAAAUUGACCUGUUUUUUUAUCGUGCGGGUUGAACCCGCUAAUUUCUCGUGCAGGUUUCGAGUCGUGUGUAACACCCCGACUCCAAUUUAAAUAUUUAUUUUAAACGAUUUAAAUAAAAUUACGAAACUACCCUUGAGUUAGGGGUAAAAUGGUCACUUUCUUCUUCGGAAGGAUUUUUGGACCACGAGUGGUAUUUUUGAGUAGUUGGUACCGAGAUGAUUUCGUAGACAUGCAGUAGGCUUGAAUCGGGGUUGUAACGAAAAAGCUACGGGAAAAAUAGUGUCGGUGGCAAACUUGUAAAUAUUUCGAAAAGGGUUAGGGUAAAAAUCAGAUUUUUCCAGUUUUACCUCACUUUCUCUCUCUUCCUCCCGAUUCUCUCUCUCUCUCCCGCGUCCCUCUUCCUCCUUCUCCGAUUUGCAGACACGGAGCCACCGCCACAGACCACGGCCAGCCCCGAGACCGGACCCAAAACAACCGGCCAGACCUCGCCGACGUCCCCCGACCCAUCUCCAGCCGUCCGCCGCCGCCUCGUCACCGAAAAACGCGAAUUUCAGGCCGAUCCUUGUCUGAGCUUCCAGUCGAUCGUUCUCUCUCCUCCGAGCACUAUUUCAGACGGGUGAGGUAUGGUUUCUCAUCCAAUUUUCGAGUUCUAGCUGAUGAUGGUAUAGGUUUUCAUUGAUUUUGAGUCUAGAAAACCGAUUAGAAAUCUAGGUUUUGG
RNAcentral lists this long non-coding RNA (1074 nucleotides) under Prunus persica (peach). Its description in RNAcentral is "long non-coding RNA (PPER_LNC002202)". The record is from RNAcentral. Lineage: Eukaryota; Viridiplantae; Streptophyta; Magnoliopsida; Rosales; Rosaceae.